UACUACCCCCCACCCCUGCCCCGGGCUACUACAGAGUGCAGUGUGUUCAAGGGCCAGUGCCCAGUGUGCUGUAGUCUAUCUCCUCCUCCGCUGCUGCUGGUGCAUAGAGACAUGUACGCGCAAGGUUAGUUUGAGUCCACACCAAAUGCCCCGCCGGCGUAUACCCUUUACCAGAAUGAAGCGUACAGCAUUUGCAGGGAUGAUCACUGUAUGCAAUGUGCGGUGCUUUCAAGUAUAUGUACAGUGAUUCCGGGCCGGACGCUCGCUGUUUCUGGAUUUCUUCUCGCAAAGUUUUCUGCAUUCCUUGAGACCACGUAACGCUAUCUGAGUUGACUGACUGCCCUAUCAACAAAUCCACCGACUUUUUCCUGUCGCUCACGUAUUGUGCAAGUCACGGCUCUGCUUGUAUAAACAAUUGUAUAUCAUGGUAAUGUCACACAGUCAUGGAGGUGGGAAAUGGGCUCAUAUCUCUGCACCAGUUUGCGCAUUCUAAUUGCUCCGGCUAAUGUUUCCUUGGCAACAGUUGUAGUCUGAAGUUGCAUUUGCUUCGAUGCACACAAUAAUGGUCAUGUGAAGGUGUGUGUGUGUUUUUCUGCUGCAGUGAAUCUAAUGGUCAUGUGAAGGUGUGUGUGUGUUUUUCUGCAGCAGUGAAUCCACAACCAAUGCACUAUACUUUUAAAAGAGCCCGGUGACGCUGUCACAUUUAUUGUCAAUUAUUUGAUUUCGUAUAAUAGUAUUAUGUACCGCUGGUUUAGUGCAUUUCACACGUCUCAGCCGUAUCUCUUUUUGCAACACCAAAACACUGAGAAGUACACUUGCUCGAUUAUUUUGACA
Long non-coding RNA from Sycon ciliatum, 834 nucleotides. RefSeq lists it as uncharacterized. The record is from RefSeq and is a predicted model, not a curated record. NCBI's taxonomy places the organism in Eukaryota, Metazoa, Porifera, Calcarea, Leucosolenida, Sycettidae. The transcript has 2 exons.